Molecule: ribosomal RNA, 1981 nt
Filed under: Escherichia coli 6-175-07_S3_C2
Lineage: Bacteria; Pseudomonadati; Pseudomonadota; Gammaproteobacteria; Enterobacterales; Enterobacteriaceae
Description: bacterial LSU rRNA
Rfam family: Bacterial large subunit ribosomal RNA
Source: RNAcentral
GAGAAUGUUAUCACGGGAGACACACGGCGGGUGCUAACGUCCGUCGUGAAGAGGGAAACAACCCAGACCGCCAGCUAAGGUCCCAAAGUCAUGGUUAAGUGGGAAACGAUGUGGGAAGGCCCAGACAGCCAGGAUGUUGGCUUAGAAGCAGCCAUCAUUUAAAGAAAGCGUAAUAGCUCACUGGUCGAGUCGGCCUGCGCGGAAGAUGUAACGGGGCUAAACCAUGCACCGAAGCUGCGGCAGCGACACUAUGUGUUGUUGGGUAGGGGAGCGUUCUGUAAGCCUGUGAAGGUGGCCUGUGAGGGUUGCUGGAGGUAUCAGAAGUGCGAAUGCUGACAUAAGUAACGAUAAAGCGGGUGAAAAGCCCGCUCGCCGGAAGACCAAGGGUUCCUGUCCAACGUUAAUCGGGGCAGGGUGAGUCGACCCCUAAGGCGAGGCCGAAAGGCGUAGUCGAUGGGAAACAGGUUAAUAUUCCUGUACUUGGUGUUACUGCGAAGGGGGGACGGAGAAGGCUAUGUUGGCCGGGCGACGGUUGUCCCGGUUUAAGCGUGUAGGCUGGUUUUCCAGGCAAAUCCGGAAAACCAAGGCUGAGGCGUGAUGACGAGGCACUACGGUGCUGAAGCGACAAAUGCCCUGCUUCCAGGAAAAGCCUCUAAGCAUCAGGUAACAUCAAAUCGUACCCCAAACCGACACAGGUGGUCAGGUAGAGAAUACCAAGGCGCUUGAGAGAACUCGGGUGAAGGAACUAGGCAAAAUGGUGCCGUAACUUCGGGAGAAGGCACGCUGAUAUGUAGGUGAAGCGACUUGCUCGUGGAGCUGAAAUCAGUCGAAGAUACCAGCUGGCUGCAACUGUUUAUUAAAAACACAGCACUGUGCAAACACGAAAGUGGACGUAUACGGUGUGACGCCUGCCCGGUGCCGGAAGGUUAAUUGAUGGGGUUAGCGGCAACGCGAAGCUCUUGAUCGAAGCCCCGGUAAACGGCGGCCGUAACUAUAACGGUCCUAAGGUAGCGAAAUUCCUUGUCGGGUAAGUUCCGACCUGCACGAAUGGCGUAAUGAUGGCCAGGCUGUCUCCACCCGAGACUCAGUGAAAUUGAACUCGCUGUGAAGAUGCAGUGUACCCGCGGCAAGACGGAAAGACCCCGUGAACCUUUACUAUAGCUUGACACUGAACAUUGAGCCUUGAUGUGUAGGAUAGGUGGGAGGCUUUGAAGUGUGGACGCCAGUCUGCAUGGAGCCGACCUUGAAAUACCACCCUUUAAUGUUUGAUGUUCUAACGUUGGCCCGUAAUCCGGGUUGCGGACAGUGUCUGGUGGGUAGUUUGACUGGGGCGGUCUCCUCCUAAAGAGUAACGGAGGAGCACGAAGGUUGGCUAAUCCUGGUCGGACAUCAGGAGGUUAGUGCAAUGGCAUAAGCCAGCUUGACUGCGAGCGUGACGGCGCGAGCAGGUGCGAAAGCAGGUCAUAGUGAUCCGGUGGUUCUGAAUGGAAGGGCCAUCGCUCAACGGAUAAAAGGUACUCCGGGGAUAACAGGCUGAUACCGCCCAAGAGUUCAUAUCGACGGCGGUGUUUGGCACCUCGAUGUCGGCUCAUCACAUCCUGGGGCUGAAGUAGGUCCCAAGGGUAUGGCUGUUCGCCAUUUAAAGUGGUACGCGAGCUGGGUUUAGAACGUCGUGAGACAGUUCGGUCCCUAUCUGCCGUGGGCGCUGGAGAACUGAGGGGGGCUGCUCCUAGUACGAGAGGACCGGAGUGGACGCAUCACUGGUGUUCGGGUUGUCAUGCCAAUGGCACUGCCCGGUAGCUAAAUGCGGAAGAGAUAAGUGCUGAAAGCAUCUAAGCACGAAACUUGCCCCGAGAUGAGUUCUCCCUGACUCCUUGAGAGUCCUGAAGGAACGUUGAAGACGACGACGUUGAUAGGCCGGGGGUGUAAGCGCAGCGAUGCGUUGAGCUAACCGGUACUAAUGAACCGUGAGGCUUAACCU